CACAAAUUCGUAAUUACGGUAAAGUCCACAGAUUUAUAAAAAUAUUUAAUUAAAGAUAGUAAUGGAGUUAUUAUAUUAAAAAAAACACAUUUAUUAUACUCUAUGCCAAGUUUUGACGUACUGCUGUGGUUUGUAAUACUGUGAUGUUUUUAUUUAUCCAAGCAAGUAUAAAUGUAUUUUAAUUAAUAAAAACAGAGAUGAUAUUUUUAUAUAGAAUUGUGUUUAUAAAAUGAAUAAUUUUUGUUUUAAAUAUUACUUAAAACAAUUAAUAGUUCUUUUUGGAUUAUAAUGUUUUAUUUGUUAGUACAAUAAAAAAGUAACUUUUUAUUAUACAUGUAUCUACCCUAUUACAAGAUAUCAUAGUUUACACUAUCUUCACAUUUUUCGACCAUUUUAGGUUUAAAAUAAAUUGAAUCUAAGCCGACAUUAUUUGCUUGAGUAUUAACAUUAUGAUUAGAAAAGUAACAGGAAAAUUCAAAACUGUUAUUUAUUAAAUUCAUAGAAGUUUGAGAAGAUUUAUCCUCAACGUAUUUUACAUCAGGACAAUCAAGUUUAUUUGAUACCGGUAAAUUAUCAAAUAUUACUAAAUUAGUAGGUAUAUUUGUAUUACAAGAUUUUCACUUUUGUGUACUGGAAUUCUAUGUUUGUAUAUUUUAGGAAAUGUUAGAUAGAAUGAUGGACUAUUUAGGUGUUUGGAUGGUUUACCAUCAAUAAAAUGUUCACUAUAUAUUCUUGAGUUUUGAUUCGGUUUUCAUGGUUGAUUGUUAGAGCUAAAACUGAAUAGAUAAUUACCACAAAUAAUGAUUAUAAUUAUAUACAGUUUUAAUUAAAACUAAGCACAUAUUACAUGAAUGAAAGUUAAUUUUUCAUUCAAUAUUCAAGUAGAAAACUUCAUAAAUUAUUCAAAUUAUAAAUAUUAUUUGUAUUAUUUUGGGUCACCAUAAUAUAUAAAUACCAUAUCAUAAUUACAUGAAAUAGCUCAUACUUAUUUAAAUAAAUACCAGCUAAUAGCUCAACAGUAAAAAAGGGUAAGCACAAGGUUACAAUAUAAGGUCUACAAGGGGAUUUUAUUCAACAUAUAAGAGUAUUAGUUUUAGAUACCUACAUACCUUUUCCACUUCACUGCUUGAAUCCAUUUUUUUUUCUGUAUAAUGCCAUGUGAUUUACUAGGAAACAUGAAAACAUUUUUCAUGUUUCUAUAAGUAUUUGUACAACCAACAAUAUAACAAACCUCAUUUUACUAUUUUAUAGGUACCUAAUAAAUAUUAUAUCAUUGGCAGAAAACAAAAACAGUUUGAAGGCAAAGAUGGGAUAAAUAAACCCUUUAUACGCAUUAUAUUAAUUAUUAUAUUAUUAUAUUUAAUUACAUUAGUUAUAAGUAAAUUAAUUCCAUAAAAAAGACAUUUUUGAUUAAUUUACUAUUUUCAUUAAUAAUUGUAUACCACAAAAAGUUUGAAUGUUGUCCGCUAGCACGCAUACUACGCACAUGCUCUACGCCUAUUUAAUAGUCUAUACUACAAAUUAAUUAUCUUGAUUCGUGGUCUAUAACUUAUCAUAUAUAAUCAUUAGGGAAUGGAUUUGAAUGCAAAUUGCAUUUUUUUCUGAAUGUCAGAAAACAUUGCUUUCCAAGCACAAAGUUCAUUUCAUACAUCAAGGAAUUAAGAAAUGUAACUUUUUUUUUGCAUUUUUUGAUAUUUUUAGGGCAUUUUUAUGUUUUUAAGUAAUUUUUGUAUAGGAAUGGAUAAAAUUCGAUAAAAAUGUAGAUUAACAUUCAUUCUAAACAAAUAAAAAUAAAUAUUUCUUAUGUUUUUACCGAUCAGAUAAACCUUGACUCCAGACAAAAUUAUUGUUGACACUCAUAUAUACAAGUAAAGAUAAGAUAAUCUAUUUAUCUAAAUUGUAAUUUUGCAUUACACUGUUGAGUUGAGUCACUGUGCUUUAUAGUUCCCAUGAGCUUAUUAUGACCUAAAAAUGACGGACAUACUUCGCACGAUGGGUGCAGCCACUGUUGAUGAAGAGUAGGGAAUGUAGGGUACAUAGGAGAAAUUAAUUUCUAUCUGUAAGCAACGAUAAACCAUUGCUAACGAAAAAAUGAUUCUGAGCGGAGUUCAGUUGAUAUUGAUGCUUUGUCAACAAUAUGGUAAAAUAAUUAAAUAGGCAUUACACGUUAUCUUUAAUAAUAUUUGUUUAAUUAGUUAUCUGUACCACAUACUAUAUUAGAUUUAAUCAUUGGUUUCAUAUUGGGUAGUGGAUAAGUAGUGGUUUCACCUUCAAAAUAGGGGUGAAAAAAAUGAACGUCAACAUUACAAUGUUUAUUUUUUUUUUCUGUAGACGACUUCAACAAGCAGUUUUUCUCAGAUUCAGAAUGAUAGCACUUUAUUUUUAAAGGAUAUCUGACUGAGGAGGUACUUUAUGGAGGUAAUUUUUUCGAAUUUUCCUAAUAAAUUAUAAAACCUAACCUAACAUUUUCAUUAUUUUUAAACACGAUGUUUUUUACCAGUAAUAUUGCUCCAAUCCAAAAAUGAAAAGAUAUCCAUUUUGUUCCUUAUGGC
This is a non-coding RNA of Cinara cedri, 2552 nucleotides long. The record is from the annotation of a GenBank genome assembly. Lineage: Eukaryota; Metazoa; Arthropoda; Insecta; Hemiptera; Aphididae.